CAUGGAGUAGAUCAGUGGCAGAUCGCCCGGCUGUUACCGGGAGGGCGCAGGUUCGAUUCCUGCCUCCAUGUCCA
This 74-nucleotide transfer RNA is filed under the name Jiangella mangrovi. RNAcentral's name for it is "tRNA-OTHER". It matches the Rfam family "tRNA". From Rfam's summary of the family: Transfer RNA (tRNA) molecules are approximately 80 nucleotides in length. Their secondary structure includes four short double-helical elements and three loops (D, anti-codon, and T loops). Lineage: Bacteria; Bacillati; Actinomycetota; Actinomycetes; Jiangellales; Jiangellaceae. The record is from RNAcentral.